This 163-nucleotide ribosomal RNA is filed under the name Salmonella enterica. RNAcentral describes it as "partial 16S ribosomal RNA". It matches the Rfam family "Bacterial small subunit ribosomal RNA", at positions 1 to 155 of the family's 1533-position model. The record is from RNAcentral. Lineage: Bacteria; Pseudomonadati; Pseudomonadota; Gammaproteobacteria; Enterobacterales; Enterobacteriaceae.
UUAAAUUGAAGAGUUUGAUCAUGGCUCAGAUUGAACGCUGGUGGCAGGCCUAACACAUGCAAGUCGAACGGUAACAGGAAGCAGCUUGCUGCUUUGCUGACGAGUGGCGGACGGGUGAGUAAUGUCUGGGAAACUGCCUGAUGGAGGGGGAUAACUACUGGAA